AGUGAGGAAUUUUUUUUAUUAAAAAACAAUACAUUUCUAUAUGUUGCAAGCUUAAGAGAAAAAGAUAUGGCUGAAAUUAUUAAGUUUAUUUACUUAAUGAUCAUUUUUAUUUCCUUAUUUCAUAACGUAACCGGCAAGAGGACAGGAUAAGAAGUGCAAAGAUAAUUCAGAUUGUUUACUAUAUUUUUGUGUAUCUCCUUAUGUUCCAAAGUGCAUUGGUUUUAAAUGUAGAUGUCGUCCAUUAAGCCUAUCUUUAGAUUGAUGAGAUAUGAUGGAAUGAAAUGAUAUAUAAUAAGAUUCUAUUGUAUGCAUUGAUGAAAUGUAAAUGAAAUGGAAUGAAAUACAAUGGAACCAAUUUCAUUCAAUAUUACUCGAUCUUUCAAUUUUUCGUCUCACUCAAUUUAAGGUGUAUCUAGUGGAAUGAAACUUAAGUCUUGAAAUUCAAAUACAUGGAUACUUAUUUUA
Medicago truncatula (barrel medic) is the source of this 465-nucleotide long non-coding RNA. RefSeq lists it as uncharacterized. The record is from RefSeq and is a predicted model, not a curated record. Lineage: Eukaryota; Viridiplantae; Streptophyta; Magnoliopsida; Fabales; Fabaceae. The transcript has 2 exons.